GGCCUUUGAUACUGUGCGCCUUGAGUGUAGUUGAAGUGGGCGGAAUAUAGCAAGUAGCGGUGAAAUGCGUAGAUAUGCUAUAGAACGCCAAUUGCGAAGGCCGCUCACUAAGCUAUAACUGACGCUGAGGCACGAAAGCGUGGGUAGCGAACAGGAUUAGAUACCCUGGUAGUCCACGCCGUAAACGAUGAACACUCGCUGUUGGCUGAUUACAGUCAGCGGCUGAGCGAAAGCGUUAAGUGUUCCACCUGGGAAUUACGAUCGCAAGGUUGAAACUCAAAGGAAUUGACGGGGGCCCGCACAAGCGGAGGAGCAUGUGGUUUAAUUCGAUGCAACGCGAAGAACCUUACCAGCCCUUGACAUCCUCGGAACUUACUAGAGAUA
RNAcentral lists this ribosomal RNA (384 nucleotides) under uncultured bacterium. RNAcentral describes it as "bacterial SSU rRNA". It matches the Rfam family "Bacterial small subunit ribosomal RNA", at positions 622 to 1008 of the family's 1533-position model. The record is from RNAcentral.